AGUCCUAUAACGAGCGCAACCCCUAUGCUUAGUUGCCAGCACGUAAUGGUGGGAACUCUAAGCAGACUGCCUGCGAAAGCAGUGAGGAAGGAGGGGACGAGGUCAAGUCAUCAUGGCUCUUACGCCUAGGGCUACACACGUGUUACAAUGGCGUGUACAACGGGUCGCUACCUGGUAACAGGAUGCCAAUCCCUUAAAACACGUCUCAGUUCGGAUUGAGGUCUGCAACUCGACCUCAUGAAGCUGGAAUCGCUAGUAAUCGCGUAUCAGAAUGACGCGGUGAAUACGUUCUCGGACCUU
This 300-nucleotide ribosomal RNA is filed under the name uncultured bacterium. RNAcentral's name for it is "bacterial SSU rRNA". It matches the Rfam family "Bacterial small subunit ribosomal RNA", at positions 1083 to 1382 of the family's 1533-position model. The record is from RNAcentral.